CCUACGGGCGGCAGCAGUCGGGAAUAUUGCGCAAUGGAGGAAACUCUGACGCAGUGACGCAGCGUGCAGGAAGAAGGUUCUCGGAUUGUAAACUGCUUUAGACAGAGAAGUAAAAAGACAGUAGCUGUCGAAUAAGUUCCUGCUAAAUGCGUGCCAGCAGCCUCAGUAAUUCGGAGGGAGCACGCUUUUACCGGAUUUAUUGGGUUUAAAGGGUGCGUAGCCGGAGAAGCAAGUUAGUUGUGAAAUCCCUCGGCUUAACUGAAGAACUGCAAUGAAAACUUAUUGCCUUGAGUACUGGAGAGGAAAGUGGAAUGCCUAGUGUAGCGGUGAAAUGCGUAGAUAUUAGGAAGAACACCAGUGGCGAAGGCGACUUUCUGGACAGUAACUGACGUUGAGGCACGAAAGUGUGGGGAGCAAACAGGAUUAGAUACCCGAGUAGUC
Molecule: ribosomal RNA, 441 nt
Filed under: uncultured bacterium
Lineage: Bacteria
Description: partial 16S ribosomal RNA
Rfam family: Bacterial small subunit ribosomal RNA
Source: RNAcentral